RNAcentral lists this ribosomal RNA (484 nucleotides) under uncultured bacterium. RNAcentral describes it as "partial 16S ribosomal RNA". It matches the Rfam family "Bacterial small subunit ribosomal RNA", at positions 28 to 523 of the family's 1533-position model. The record is from RNAcentral.
GACGAACGCUGGCGGCGUGCUUAACACAUGCAAGUCGAACGAUGAAGCCGGAGCUUGCUCUGGUGAAUUAGUGGCGAACGGGUGAGUAACACGUGAGUAACCUGCCCUUGACUCUGGGAUAACUGCUAGAAAUGGUAGCUAAUACCGGAUACGACCCUCGGAGGCAUCUCCAGGGGGUGGAAAGAAUUUCGGUCAAGGAUGGACUCGCGGCCUAUCAGCUAGUUGGUGAGGUAACGGCUCACCAAGGCGACGACAGGUAGCCGGCCUGAGAGGGUGGCCGGCCACACUGGGACUGAGACACGGCCCAGACUCCUACGGGGGGCAGCAGUGGGGAAUAUUGCACAAUGGGCGCAAGCCUGAUGCAGCAACGCCGCGUGAGGGGUGACGGCCUUCGGGUUGUAAACCUCUUUUAGUAGGGAAGAAGCGAAAGUGACGGUACCUGCAGAAAAAGCACCGGCUAACUACGUGCCAGCCGCCGCCGUAA